GCUGUGGCAGCUCAGUGGUUAUAGCUUCAAAUUAUAGAUAAGAAAGUCAUGUGUUCAAAUCCCAGCCUCACCA
Non-coding RNA from Pangasius djambal, 73 nucleotides. Lineage: Eukaryota; Metazoa; Chordata; Actinopteri; Siluriformes; Pangasiidae. The record is from the annotation of a GenBank genome assembly.